RNAcentral lists this transfer RNA (72 nucleotides) under Chloroflexota bacterium. RNAcentral describes it as "Chloroflexi bacterium tRNA-Gly". It matches the Rfam family "tRNA". From Rfam's summary of the family: Transfer RNA (tRNA) molecules are approximately 80 nucleotides in length. Their secondary structure includes four short double-helical elements and three loops (D, anti-codon, and T loops). The record is from RNAcentral. Lineage: Bacteria; Bacillati; Chloroflexota.
GCGGAAGUGGCGCAGUGGUAGCGCACGAUCUUGCCAAGAUCGGGGCCGCGGGUUCGAAUCCCGUCUUCCGCU